Molecule: ribosomal RNA, 426 nt
Filed under: uncultured prokaryote
Description: bacterial SSU rRNA
Rfam family: Bacterial small subunit ribosomal RNA
Source: RNAcentral
UGGGGAAUUUUCCGCAAUGGGCGAAAGCCUGACGGAGCAACGCCGCGUGCGGGAUGACGGCCUGUGGGUUGUAAACCGCUUUUCUCAGGGAAGAAGAUCUGACGGUACCUGAGGAAUCAGCAUCGGCUAACUCCGUGCCAGCAGCCGCGGUAAUACGGAGGAUGCAAGCGUUAUCCGGAAUUAUUGGGCGUAAAGCGUCCGCAGGCGGCCUAUCAAGUCUGCUGUUAAAUGUCGGGGCUCAACUCCGAUUUGGCAGUGGAAACUGAUAGGCUAGAGUACGGUAGGGGUAGAGGGAAUUCCCAGUGUAGCGGUGAAAUGCGUAGAUAUUGGGAAGAACACCAGUGGCGAAGGCGCUCUACUGGGCCGUAACUGACGCUGAGGGACGAAAGCUAGGGGAGCGAAAGGGAUUAGAUACCCCCGUAGUCC